Lutzomyia longipalpis is the source of this 73-nucleotide non-coding RNA. The record is from Rfam. NCBI's taxonomy places the organism in Eukaryota, Metazoa, Arthropoda, Insecta, Diptera, Psychodidae.
GCCCGUAUAGAUCAGUUGAUAGAGCAUGAGACUUUUAAUCUCGGGGUCGUGGGUUCGAACCCCACGUUGAGCG